GCUCCGGUAGUGUAGUCCGGCCAAGCAUGAGGGCCUUUCGAGCCCUAGACCCGGGUUCGAAUCCCGGCCGGAGCACCA
Molecule: transfer RNA, 78 nt
Filed under: Nitrososphaeria archaeon
Lineage: Archaea; Thermoproteati; Nitrososphaerota; Nitrososphaeria
Description: tRNA-Glu
Rfam family: tRNA
About the family: Transfer RNA (tRNA) molecules are approximately 80 nucleotides in length. Their secondary structure includes four short double-helical elements and three loops (D, anti-codon, and T loops).
Source: RNAcentral